Molecule: ribosomal RNA, 460 nt
Filed under: uncultured bacterium
Lineage: Bacteria
Description: partial 16S ribosomal RNA
Rfam family: Bacterial small subunit ribosomal RNA
Source: RNAcentral
CCUACGGGAGGCAGCAGUGAGGAAUAUUGGUCAAUGGGCGAGAGCCUGAACCAGCGACGUAGCGUGAAGGAUGACUGCCCUAUGGGUUGUAAACUUCUUUUAUAUGGGAGUAAAAUGUUCCACGUGUGGGAUUUUGUCUGUACCAUAUGAAUCCGGCACGGCUAACUCCGUGCCAGCAGCCGCGGUAAUCCGGAGGGUCCGAGCGUUAUCCGGAUUUAUUGGGUGUAAAGGGAGCGUAGGUGGAUUGUUAAGUCAGUUGUGAAAGUUUGCGGCUCAACCGUAAGAUUGCAGUUGAAACUGGCAGUCUUGAGUGCAGGAGAGGUGAGUGGAAUUCGUGGUGUAGCGGUGAAAUGCUUAGAUAUCACGAAGAACUCCGAUUGCGAAGGCAGCUCACUGGACUGCAACUGACACUGAGGCUCGAAAGUGUGGGUAUCAAACAGGAUUAGAUACCCCUGUAGUC